RNAcentral lists this ribosomal RNA (495 nucleotides) under uncultured bacterium. RNAcentral describes it as "partial 16S ribosomal RNA". It matches the Rfam family "Bacterial small subunit ribosomal RNA", at positions 28 to 507 of the family's 1533-position model. The record is from RNAcentral.
GACGAACGCUGGCGGCGUGCCUAAUACAUGCAAGUAGAACGCUGAAGGAGGAGCUUGCUUCUCCGGAUGAGUUGCGAACGGGUGAGUAACGCGUAGGUAACCUGCCUGGUAGCGGGGGAUAACUAUUGGAAACGAUAGCUAAUACCGCAUAAGAGUAGAUGUCGCAUGACAUUUGCUUAAAAGGUGCAACUGCACCACUACCAGAUGGACCUGCGUUGUAUUAGCUAGUUGGUGGGGUAACGGCUCACCAAGGCAACGAUACAUAGCCGACCUGAGAGGGGGAUCGGCCACACUGGGACUGAGACACGGCCCAGACUCCUACGGGAGGCAGCAGUAGGGAAUCUUCGGCAAUGGACGGAAGUCUGACCGAGCAACGCCGCGUGAGUGAAGAAGGUUUUCGGAUCGUAAAGCUCUGUUGUAAGAGAAGAACGAGUGUGAGAGUGGAAAGUUCACACUGUGACGGUAUCUUACCAGAAAGGGACGGCUAACUACGUG